RNAcentral lists this ribosomal RNA (472 nucleotides) under uncultured Magnetococcus sp. RNAcentral describes it as "bacterial SSU rRNA". It matches the Rfam family "Bacterial small subunit ribosomal RNA", at positions 79 to 587 of the family's 1533-position model. Lineage: Bacteria; Pseudomonadati; Pseudomonadota; Magnetococcia; Magnetococcales; Magnetococcaceae. The record is from RNAcentral.
UUCGGGCGCCGGCGAGUGGCGAACGGGUGAGUAACACGUGGAGACCUAUCCAUUGGUGGGGGACAACAGCUGGAAACGGCUGCUAAUACCGCAUAAUCCCUACGGGGGAAAGAUUUAUCGCCAUAGGAGGGUUCCGCGUCGGAUUAGCUAGUUGGUGGGGUAACGGCCUACCAAGGCAACGAUCCGUAGCUGGUCUUAGAGGAUGAUCAGCCACACUGGGACUGAGACACGGCCCAGACUCCUACGGGAGGCAGCAGUGGGGAAUAUUGCGCAAUGGAGGAAACUCUGACGCAGCGAUGCCGCGUGGGUGAAGAAGGCCUUAGGGUUGUAAAGCCCUUUCAGUGGGAACGAUGGUGACGGUACCCACAGAAGAAGCCCCGGCUAACUCCGUGCCAGCAGCCGCGGUAAUACGGAGGGGGCGAGCGUUGUUCGGAAUUAUUGGGCGUAAAGCGCGCGUAGGCGGCUUAUUAAG